AGUGAACGCUGGCGGUAGGCCUAACACAUGCAAGUCGAACGGCAGCACAGUAAGAGCUUGCUCUUACGGGUGGCGAGUGGCGGACGGGUGAGGAAUACAUCGGAAUCUACUUUUUCGUGGGUGAUAACGUAGGGAAACUUACGCUAAUACCGCAUACGACCUACGGGUGAAAGCAGGGGAUCUUCGGACCUUGCGCGAUUGAAUUAGCCGAUGUCGGAUUAGCUAGUUGGCGUGGUAAAGGCCCACCAAGGCGACGAUCCGUAGCUGGUCUGAGAGGAUGAUCAGCCACACUGGAACUGAGACACGGUCCAGACUCCUACGGGAGGCAGCAGUGGGGAAUAUUGGGCAAUGGGCGCAAGCCUGAUCCAGCCAUACCGCGUGGGUGAAGAAGGCCUUCGGGUUGUAAAGCCCUUUUGUUGGGAAAGAAAAGCAGCAGGUUAAUACCCCGCUGUUCUGACGGUACCCAAAGAAUAAGCACCGGCUAACUUCGUG
This 492-nucleotide ribosomal RNA is filed under the name uncultured bacterium. RNAcentral describes it as "partial 16S ribosomal RNA". It matches the Rfam family "Bacterial small subunit ribosomal RNA", at positions 29 to 507 of the family's 1533-position model. The record is from RNAcentral.